Molecule: ribosomal RNA, 107 nt
Organism: Panthera pardus (leopard)
Lineage: Eukaryota; Metazoa; Chordata; Mammalia; Carnivora; Felidae
Source: Ensembl
CUCUACGGCCAUACCACCUUGAACGCGCUCCGUCUCUUCUGAUCUUGGAAGCUGAGUAGGGUCAGGCCUGGUUAGUACUUGGAUGGAAGAAAUGCAGGCUCCAGGGU